ACUACCUUCUACAUAUUUAUAAUUUUUAUUGAAAUUAAAAUUUGAUUGAUAAUCAUGAUGUUCUAAUGACAGCAUCGCGAUCCUAUCAAACUUAGAUUUAAAGUCUAAUUGAAUUAGAUUUGAUAGGAUUUUGAAUUGAAUUUGAAUCGUAUUUGAAUUAGAUUUAAAUUGAAUCAUGGAUCAAGUCUUAAUUGAUUUAAAUCAAAUUUAAUUUAAUUAGGUUUGAUUUAAUUUGAGGUUAAUUAGGUUUUAU
Molecule: long non-coding RNA, 253 nt
Filed under: Elaeis guineensis (African oil palm)
Lineage: Eukaryota; Viridiplantae; Streptophyta; Magnoliopsida; Arecales; Arecaceae
Description: long non-coding RNA (EGUI_LNC021880)
Source: RNAcentral